UAGGGAAUCUUCGGCAAUGGACGAAAGUCUGACCGAGCAACGCCGCGUGAGUGAAGAAGGUCUUCGGAUCGUAAAACUCUGUUGUUAGAGAAGAACAAGGACGUUAGUAACUGAACGUCCCCUGACGGUAUCUAACCAGAAAGCCACGGCUAACUACGUGCCAGCAGCCGCGGUAAUACGUAGGUGGCAAGCGUUGUCCGGAUUUAUUGGGCGUAAAGCGAGCGCAGGCGGUUUCUUAAGUCUGAUGUGAAAGCCCCCGGCUCAACCGGGGAGGGUCAUUGGAGACUGAGAGACUUGAGUGCAGAAGAGGAGAGUGGAAUUCCAUGUGUAGCGGUGAAAUGCGUAGAUAUAUGGAGGAACACCAGUGGCGAAGGCGGCUCUCUGGUCUGUGACUGACGCUGAGGCUCGAAAGCGUGGGGAGCAGGCAGA
This 429-nucleotide ribosomal RNA is filed under the name Gemmatimonadota bacterium. RNAcentral's name for it is "Gemmatimonadetes bacterium partial 16S ribosomal RNA". It matches the Rfam family "Bacterial small subunit ribosomal RNA", at positions 355 to 776 of the family's 1533-position model. The record is from RNAcentral. Lineage: Bacteria; Pseudomonadati; Gemmatimonadota.